UACGUAGGGGGCAAGCGUUGUCCGGAUUUAUUGGGCGUAAAGAGCGUGUAGGCGGCCUGACAGGUCUGCUGUGAAAACUCGAGGCUCAACCUCGAGAUGUCGGCGGAAACCGUCUGGCUAGAGUCCGGAAGAGGAGAGUGGAAUUCCUGGUGUAGCGGUGAAAUGCGCAGAUAUCAGGAAGAACACCUAUGGCGAAGGCGGCUAUCUGGACGGUUACUGACGCUAAGACGCGAAAGCGUGGGGAGCGAACAGG
RNAcentral lists this ribosomal RNA (253 nucleotides) under uncultured bacterium. RNAcentral's name for it is "partial 16S ribosomal RNA". It matches the Rfam family "Bacterial small subunit ribosomal RNA", at positions 524 to 776 of the family's 1533-position model. The record is from RNAcentral.